RNAcentral lists this long non-coding RNA (1227 nucleotides) under Gallus gallus (chicken). Its description in RNAcentral is "lncRNA (ENSGALG00010001574.1)". The record is from RNAcentral. Lineage: Eukaryota; Metazoa; Chordata; Aves; Galliformes; Phasianidae.
UAAAAUACUCAGCUUUGGUGGGAGAGGGGAAGGGAGUUUGAAAGGAUGUCUGCAUUUGGAAUAUAAGUUAACAAGGGAGAAAAGUAAAGACGUCAGUGUGGUAACCACGAGGAUGGAUGCUGCAGUUAGAAAGAUGUUCUUGCUGGUGGCUUUGUGUGUGUCACAGCCUGCUAGCCCAAUUGCUGGGUGGUGGUAAUAAUAGACAUCAGUUUCAGAAUAUCUGUGGAUGAACUGUGUGCAUUACACUUUUAUAGGGCUAUGAAGAGCAGGCUGCAAGGCCUGAGAUGGAGUCAGCAAGAAGCAGUUGCCUUCUCCGAUCCCUGUCUGUGUCCCUGAAUGUUUGUGUUUCCAAAGAGUGAAUGGUCAGUCCUUGGUGACAGCCUUGGUGCACAAUUGUUCUGCUGGUGUGCAGACUCUGAAUUGUCGACCAGUCUCUAAUACAACAGCUUCUUUGUUUUGUUUUGUGUCUUGACUUCUUCCCAGGUCAAAGUAUCCAGACAGUAAUGCUAAAAAAAGCUCACAGAAAGCACUGAAGGAAGCAGCACAUAAUGAGUGACUGCUCUUACACUCUCACUGCAGGCAUUUUUCUUACAUAUUACCUGAGUAGAUUUUGCUGUUGGAGAUACUGUUUGAUACCCACUUCCCUUAGGAGCUAUCUAGAGCCUUAAAAUAAUUUUGGGAAAUAUGAAGAGCAAUCUUUCUUGAUGAUCUUGCUCAGAAAGAAGAGCAAUAAAGGCGCAACAUGUGGUUCUGUGGUCUGACUCAGCUGACAGGGAGGAGGUGUUUGCUUUGGCAGAGUCAUUUUGUUGAACUCUGGGAGGUUUCUUAGGCCAAAAUCUUUGGUCUCACAUAGACUUGUGGUUCAGAAAUGCUCCCUCAGCCUUUUUUCAGCUUUCUCUGAUGUAAAAGAGUUUACAGAAAUUAGGCAUAUCUUAAGGAGAUCGUACAUGAGUCCAAUAACUUUUGGGUGAGGCAGGAAGAGCACAGGGCACAGGGAGCUUUAUAAUAACACAUUCCUUAACGCACGAAGUGAUUUUAAAAUGUUUAUAUGCCUGUGCAAAGCAGAAGAACUUUUUUUCAGAGAAUGCCUAACAGUCUAAUGAUGGUGAAGUAAAUUUAAUCGUGUUAAAUACAGUCCCUGCUUUGUAAUUUGGUCAGAUUUUGAAGCGUUUUCACUGAAGACAGUAAUAGCUUAGAAGAAUCAAACUCUGAAAGCUAAUCGUUGGU